UUUCCCCUUAUAGUUUAAUGUGUGUUUCCUUCUGUGUUCUUCACCUUUAUUACAGAGUGAUAGGCAGCUCAGAGAAAGCAAGGGUAGAGAGACCGGCGAUGAACAGGUAAACAAACUAAUGGUGCACUACUAGAGUCUGGCCAGCAGAGGAGGCAAGUGUAUCUACCCUGUGUCCCAGCUGAGAGAGAGGAGUUCCACCCCCAGGCAUCAUGAUGAGCUAGGACAGGGCCAAGUAUUUCAGAACUACCCAGCUGGAUAAACAUGGAAAUGCAUUCUUCUGCAGAG
Molecule: long non-coding RNA, 285 nt
Organism: Micropterus dolomieu (smallmouth bass)
Lineage: Eukaryota; Metazoa; Chordata; Actinopteri; Centrarchiformes; Centrarchidae
Exons: 3
Source: RefSeq, a predicted model, not a curated record